RNAcentral lists this ribosomal RNA (465 nucleotides) under uncultured Exiguobacterium sp. RNAcentral describes it as "bacterial SSU rRNA". It matches the Rfam family "Bacterial small subunit ribosomal RNA", at positions 338 to 795 of the family's 1533-position model. Lineage: Bacteria; Bacillati; Bacillota; Bacilli; Caryophanales. The record is from RNAcentral.
CCUACGGGAGGCAGCAGUAGGGAAUCUUCCACAAUGGACGAAAGUCUGAUGGAGCAACGCCGCGUGAGUGAUGAAGGUUUUCGGAUCGUAAAACUCUGUUGUAAGGGAAGAACAAGUACGAGAGGUAAUGCUCGUACCUUGACGGUACCUUGCGAGAAAGCCACGGCUAACUACGUGCCAGCAGCCGCGGUAAUACGUAGGUGGCAAGCGUUGUCCGGAAUUAUUGGGCGUAAAGCGCGCGCAGGCGGCCUGUUAAGUCUGAUGUGAAAGCGUCCGGCUCAACCGGGGAGGGUCAUUGGAAACUGGAAGGCGUAAGUACAGAAGAGAAGAGUGGAAGUCGAUGUGUAGCGGUGGAAUGCGUAGAGAUGGGGGGGACCACCAGUGGCGAAGGCGACUCUGUGGUCUGUAACUGACGCUGAGGAGCGAAAGCGUGGGGAGCAAACAGGAUUAGAUACCGCAGUAGUC